RNAcentral lists this small RNA (150 nucleotides) under Macaca fascicularis (crab-eating macaque). RNAcentral describes it as "Metazoan signal recognition particle RNA (ENSMFAG00000050826.1)". The record is from Rfam by way of RNAcentral. Lineage: Eukaryota; Metazoa; Chordata; Mammalia; Primates; Cercopithecidae.
GCUGGGCGUGGUGGUGCUUGCCUGUAAUCCCAGCUACUCAGGAGGCUGAGGUAGGAGAAUUGCUUGAACCCAGGAGGCGGAGGUUGCAGUAAGCCGUGAUCGUGCACCACUGCACUCCAGCCUGGGUAACAGAGCAAGACUCUGCCUCAA